This 2197-nucleotide unclassified non-coding RNA is filed under the name Hevea brasiliensis (rubber tree). Lineage: Eukaryota; Viridiplantae; Streptophyta; Magnoliopsida; Malpighiales; Euphorbiaceae. The record is from RNAcentral.
GGGCAUUACUCGUCUAUUGAAGAUAACAUGAGAUAAAGUAAUCCAUUUACAUAAAGCCAAACAUGACAUUGAAGACAACCCAACUGUAAAACCAACUUCCGUAGAUGACAUGCAUGAUUCAGCAUGUAGAGCUGCUUAUUAUGGCUUGGCAGGACGUUAGGGACAAGAAGAAGGCAAGAGCAGCUGCCGUGCAAGACAAGACUUUGCCUUAUCAUCGUCAACAAAAAAACAUGGAGAAGACAUUAGACAUAAGCAUGGAAAACGAAAACUGGGCCUCCUCAGACACUGUCAGCAUGUGUCGUCUUCAAUUAGGCUGCUCCUUCAGGGCUCAAAUGAAAUGAUAAAACUGGAGUUUACACUUGGCAGCCCUUGUCGAUACCUUAUAAUCACAAGACAAGCAUUUGAAUUGAUUGCUAAACUAUUAGUCCGUUAGCUAAAUUAUAAUGUCCAGAAGUGCUACUGGAACUCGUACAUGAUUAGCUUUCCAGACUGAAAUCAAGAGAACAGAAAAUACAGUAAAUUUCAUAUUUCUCGAUGUCAACGUCAUCAUUCUGAGUAUAUAUAGUAUCCAAAUUCGAACUAAAAAUUGCAAAAGGCAAAAAUGACAGGGAUCAAGUAGAAUUUGCCAACCUGUUUCCCUUGUUAGAAUGGCACCAAGCCCAAUGACCCAAUGUACCCUUUACCCUACCAACAUUUGAUACGCCAAAUCUGUUCCCUUUCAAUUUAAGGAAUCCUAGGAUUAACAUUCUACAUCAGUGUAUAGCCAUACACAUUAUAUUUACAUCCAAUAGCAAUCCCAAUAACUAAAAGACUCGAUCUACUCCAUUUUUCUCUCCGAAGCAAUCAUUCAUUAUUGUAAAACUCCACCCAAAACUCUUCUUAGCUCGGAUUUCUGCUCUGAGGUAAGCCUUGAUGGGUACCUGACAUCAAUCUUGAUUCUCAAAUUACCCUUCUUUCCAGGUUCUCUUGAAAUUGGCAUUCCUUCAUUUGGGACCAACACCUCGGCACCAGGUUUGACAAUAUCUGUUAGUGGGAUCAUGAGAUUCCUUCCAUCAAGUGUAGUAAACUCAAGGGUCUUACCCGUGAGGGCCUCCAGCAGUGUUAUCUCCUCAUUCACUACUAGAUCAUUACCAUCCCUCUUGUAAAUAGGGUGUAGUUUCUCAUCCACCACAAAAAUAAGAUCCGCAGGAAUAAUACCAGGCUCCUGGUUACCCUUCUCAGGAAAUGUGAUCUUCGUACCCUUCUUCCAACCAGGUUUUAUAUCAAUAGUCAGUAUUUCUUCAAGAGUCUGAAACUUACUGCAAGAGAAUUGUUAAAAUUUGAAGUCAAUAUCAAAAUGCAGAGGCAAAUACAUUUGUUCAAAGUUCAUUCUUGAGACAAUAGAUACUCCUGAGACAGAUAUUUAUUCCUUGUGCUCUUUCAUUUGUCAUCCAGAACAGGGAAGUUACAGUAGCCAUGAAAAAAAAAUCAAGUGUAAGACAAAACAAAAUUGAAAAGAAAGAAAAAUACAAAUAUUGAAUAACACAUUUCAUUCAAAGAAAUGUAAUAGUCAGCUGCUCUAGCAAACAAAGAGGUGGGCGGGGGUGUAAAAAAAAGGAAAAACCAAACUAGAUUGUUGGUAUUCAUUCAAUUUCAGGCGUAUCCCACCACGAAGGAAACCAAAAAUGCUUGUAACCUUAAACAUAGAGAAUCAAUUCCAUUCCAUAAAAUUUCCCUCCUCUUAUUCACCUUACAGGGCCAAUCAGUCUUCACUCUUUAGUAGAUGGUGCUUCUUGUAACUACUGGUGGAACGCUUCCAUCUUGUUGCCACUUGAAACAUCUCCGGACUGUUUUGUGUCAUAAUAGCCUAAAGGCCAAAUAAUGAAUAAGCAGCAAAAUCAUUUCAUUUCCACAAAAAUUUCCUUUAUAGAAAUCUGCAAGAAGAUUUAUGAUUGAAAUUCUUCAUCACUCAGCAGCAAAGAUGCUUUGAGAAUUUUUGAAUGUUAAUGAUAUUAAAUGAACCAAAGAACUAGUGAGGAACAAAAAUUUCUGAGCCCUGAGUGAUGAUACAGCAACUGAUGUAGACACACACCUGUUGGUAGUUCAUUCCAGAUCUCAUCAAAGAACAAGGUUCUCCUUAGCUUCAUUUGAAAAUUGCUUUACCAUCUUUACACUGCUUGACCAAGGUAGCUUUUGAACCAGACAAACCCAGCUAAAA